GGCCGGCCAGGUCAGUCAAAUGAACCUGCUCAUCGGGAGAUGUCUCUGGGACUCCACCGUCGAAUCGAUAUCCAGGGAGUUUCAGACUUGACCAAAAAAGCAAAUCUGUGCCAGGGCUGAGUUCAGGAAGAUACAACCCUAGCGUUGGGACUGUAGCCGCAGACCAGCGAUGCGCAAGAUGACUGGCAGCGGGGGAAUUUGAGGGUCGUAGGUCUUGGAAAAAGCAACCACUGUGCAGUGCGCCGGAAUCUGAUGUUUGGACAAGGACGAGAUUGAGGCGAAAGGGACAAGCAGAGGACGAGGGCAAUGCGACGAGUUGAUAGGAGGAGAGACGGGCAAACCUACGCCGCCAGCUAGGCUUGGAUAUCAGGAUGCUAUCCUCUGUAUGGCGAUGGGCUUCCCCUUUGGCCCCCACAGACGCUCAAUAGUUAUUUACCUCCUCCCAAUUGCCACACGGUUUUCCCACACACUUCCCGGGACAGAUCAACGGCGCUCUUUGAUACAGCUAAAGAGUAAAGGGCAUGCCGCACAUCUAGCAAAACCUUGGUCGGCUAGUUUGCAGCUGCACUCUUCCCCACCAUCGCUGCCAGGGUUAGACGGCG
Molecule: small RNA, 602 nt
Filed under: Histoplasma capsulatum
Lineage: Eukaryota; Fungi; Ascomycota; Eurotiomycetes; Onygenales; Ajellomycetaceae
Also listed under: 1 other name
Description: hypothetical RNA
Source: RNAcentral